This is a non-coding RNA of Labrus mixtus (cuckoo wrasse), 3019 nucleotides long. Lineage: Eukaryota; Metazoa; Chordata; Actinopteri; Labriformes; Labridae. The record is from the annotation of a RefSeq genome assembly.
AGGAGGAGGUGCAACAAAAGAACACAGCCAUGAACCGACAAGCCCGAAACUAAACCUGUUCAGUGAUUCAACCACCAUGUGAUCUCCAGUCCAAGGAAUCAGUUUGAACUUCAACUUAACCGAGACGAGUGCGUCCAAGUUUGCUUUCGCUUUUUGGGUUAGGGUGUAAACAUGUACUGAAAAUGGAGUUCCUACAGAAUCAGGAAAUGAUGAUGAAAGUCAUGCUCAUUGUUUUGUUCAUGCAAGGUUCUUCAGCCGACACCCCGAGGGAGCUCAGCGUGUUGGCGGGGACAGAUGUGACUCUCGGCUGCGUCUUUGAUAAGCUGUCCAAGCAGGUGGAGUGGAGCGCUCUGACCGUUGAGUGGAUCACGGUGGAUAAACGUGGAGGGAAGAGCAUUGUGUACACUUUUGAAGAUGGUAAAGUGCUCUUGAACAGAGGCGGCUCUGUGGUGGAUAAAACGCGGUUACUGCAAAGCGACGCGUCCCUGAAGCUUUGCAAUGUGACUGUGGGGGAUGAAGGAGUCUACACAUGCAGAAUCAUCACACCUGUCGUCUACACUGAGACCGUUUCUGUGGAAGUGCUCGCUCGGCCCUCAGUGUUGCUUCCAGAGACGGCGGCGUUGAUGGAGGGCCAGGAGAAGACGAUACAGUGUAACAUCACAGGAUACUAUCCAGACCAGCUGGACGUGACGUGGCACAUCCAAAACGGCUCCACCACCGUCCUUGCAGGCUUAAACCCACUCUUCAGUGUCUGCACCAAUAUGGCCGCUCACAACCCAGAUGGCACUUAUAGCAUUCGCAGCGGCAUCACUCUGCACUCGUCGGCAGUGAAGGGCGGAGACGUACGCCUCAUCUGCAGGGUGGAGCACCAGACCUUCAGUCAGCCCUACAACAGAUCCAUAACACUGAAAGUUCAAGCUCCAUCACUCCCCUCUUCCAUUGUCGGUGUUCUGAUUGGCCUCGGGAGUCUUUUGAUUUUUGGGAUGAUCGUCUCUCUUAUUGGAAGUUUUCUGGUGAUCAUCAGGCAUCUCUCUAAAGAUCCACCGAGUGUUUCUCAAAUCACACCCAACAUCAUUUAUGCCGAGGUGCCGACACAGCUUCAGUGCACGAUCCGGGGAGAAAAAAAAAGACAGGGGCUCAGAGUGAAAUGGUUUCGUUUGAGAAGCCUCGCAGAGUCGGAUGUCCCGUCGGAGUCGGCUCCUCUGUUGGUCACCGAGGAGCUGAGCCACAAGGCGUCUCUCAAGUCAGACGGCAAACAACACACAUCAGUCCUGCCCGUGUGUCUGAGUGUCACUGAAGACAUGACCAAGUACCAGUGUGUGGUUCAGUGCAGGAACAAGACCAUCGUCAGAGAGACCACAGUCGAUGUAAAAGUGGAGCCGUCUCUCCUCCAGAUCUCCAGCAUCCCUCAGAUCCCGAAGGUGGAGAAACGGCUGGUUCUCUGCUGUCGGGUGGAGAACUUCUAUCCCUCAGAUGUGGACCUGGUGUGGUCCAGGGACGACGGCGAGCGGGUUUGCUCCAUCACGCACUACGGACCUUUCUCCGCCCCGAACCGCCUGUACAGCGUGUGGAGUAAGAUCGAGCUGCUCAUGGCCAGAGAGGACGAGAAAGUAGUGUACACCUGCCGCGUUUACCACACCAGCUUCCCCGAGCAGGGCUACAGAGAUGUCAUGUACCACAUCAACACCCGAGGAACUGCUCCUGAUCCAAAGUUCAUUGAGUGUGAACCACAAGUCCCUCUGAUGAAUAAAGAGUGCACUCUGCACCUCUGCAUCGAGAACUUCUGUCCUGAGGACCUGACCGUGACCUGGACUAAAAAUGAAGAGGAGGUUCCCUCGGGUGUCUUCAACACUCCCCCGAGCCUGAACAUUAACGGCCUCUACUCCAUGUUCACUUUUCUCAAUUUCACUCCCGCUGAGGACGACAGAGGUGCUGAGUUCAGGUGCAAGGUGGUCCACAGCGCCCAGAAGGAACCGGGAGAGGAGAGGUUCUUCACGCUGCCAGUCCUGCAGGUGCCAAACGGCUGCUGACAGAAGCAUCAGUAAACCAUUGAGCAGAAUGAGGCCUAAAGACUGAAGGUUACAGGGGAAGCUGCAGAUCACAGACUGUAUAAAACAUGGACAUACUCUCAGUGACGUCACCCAUUGGAUGUUGAAAAUGCUGUCUAAAGUCACUUUCGGUCGAGCUAGAAGUAGGCAAAGCGGUUGAGCUGAGCCUCCUGGCAAACAGCUACAAUGUUCUUGCCUGUGAGUUAACUUAACUCAACAUGCUGUAACUAUUCAAAUUUUACUUUUAGCCCUAAAAUAAUCAAAACAAUAAGGAAAUGAGGUAUUGAAACCAAGUGUUUGUACCAGGCUGUGAACGUGUUUAAAAUAGGCAUUAGUAGAAUAUGGGUGUCAAUGGGACUUCUGGGAUUUUUGCAUUACUCUCGAUGAACUUCAUUUUUUUUUGCACUUCCACAUUGGUAUCAUUUUUUAUCACCAGAGGUCGCCAUUUGCAGCAGACAUAACACAGUGGUUAUACUUCAGCCAGAUGGGCUGCAGCCCAUUUCUGAAGUGUUACAGGAGCCUUUAAGAAGCCGCUCCUCCUCUAUUUUUCACAGAGCCGCUUCAAGCUGCACAGAGCAGAUAAAGAUAGCAGGAAGUUAGACACAGGGCAGGGAUAGCUAGACAGGUAACUUUCAAAACUGUCUUUUGCAAUAGAAGUUUGUUUGAAGUAGUAAAUUCCUCUUUGUUUUGUUGAAACAGUCCUAAACUUUUUAAAGAUGAACUGUCCACUUGGUGGUUUCCUUAGAACUACACACCAUGGGGACUGUUUUUUUCCGCUCUUCAUUCGCACCAUCAUGAUACCUCCUCUGAAGCAGGAGCUAAAAAGGUUCCUCUAAACGGGGUUCUAGGAACUAAAAUAGUUCAUAGUUCCUGUAGUGUGUAAUCAAUAAAAAAGGGGGAGGGUUCCAACAGUUCCUAAAACUAUAAUAAAGUUCCUGCAGUCCGAUAACGUCUGUUGUUACUCUCCUUUU